AAACCGUACUGAAAACCGACACAGGUGGUCAGGUAGAGAAUACUCAGGCGCUUGAGAGAACUCGGGUGAAGGAACUAGGCAAAAUAGCACCGUAACUUCGGGAGAAGGUGCGCCGGCGUAGAUUGUAAGGGCUAGCCCCUGAAGGUUGAACCGGUCGAAGAUACCAGCUGGCUGCAACUGUUUAUUAAAAACACAGCACUCUGCAAACACGAAAGUGGACGUAUAGGGUGUGAUGCCUGCCCGGUGCUGGAAGGUUAAUUGAUGGUGUAAUCGAAAGAGAAGCACCUGAUCGA
This 293-nucleotide ribosomal RNA is filed under the name Haemophilus influenzae. Its description in RNAcentral is "partial 23S ribosomal RNA". It matches the Rfam family "Bacterial large subunit ribosomal RNA", at positions 1639 to 1915 of the family's 2925-position model. The record is from RNAcentral. Lineage: Bacteria; Pseudomonadati; Pseudomonadota; Gammaproteobacteria; Pasteurellales; Pasteurellaceae.